AUGGCGGCUUCCACCGCGUCCCGCCUCUCGCCCCCUUGCCUCCACGCUGCUCCCCACCACCCGCUCCGCCGCUCGCGUUUCUCCCCUCUACGCGCCGCCAAGUUGGAAGCUGUGUUAUCUAUUGGAACUCAUGUAAUCCCACACCCAAGAAAGGUUGAGACCGGAGGAGAAGAUGCUUUCUUUGUGGGCGGUGAUGGUGGUGGAGUAUUUGCCAUUGCAGAUGGCGUUUCAGGAUGGGCAGAAAAGAAUGUCAACCCAGCUCUGUUUUCUCGAGAGCUUAUGGCAAACAGCUCUACUUUUAUAAAGGAUGAGGAGGUCAGUCAGGAUCCUCAAAUUCUUCUAAUGAAGGCUCAUGCUGCAACUUCUUCCAUUGGAUCUGCUACAGUAAUCGUCGCGAUGCUUGAGAAGACUGGAACCCUGAAAAUUGCGAGUGUGGGAGACUGUGGUUUGAAAGUUAUUCGAAAAGGCCAAGUGAUGUUCUCUACAUGCCCGCAAGAACAUUACUUUGAUUGUCCAUACCAGCUAAGCUCCGAGGCAAUUGGUCAAACAUCUCAAGAUGCACUGGUUUGCACUGUAAAUCUUAUGGAGGGUGACAUGAUAGUCAGUGGCUCAGAUGGAUUCUUCGACAAUAUAUUUGAUCAAGAGAUCCUUGGUGUCAUUAAUGAGUCUCUAGGCACAGAUGAAGCUGCAAAAGCUUUGGCGGAGCUUGCAAGAAAACAUUCAGUGGAUGUAACAUUCGAUUCACCCUACUCGAUGGAGGCCCGGAGUAGGGGUUUUGAUGUUCCUUGGUGGAAGAAGCUACUUGGAGCUAAGCUAGUAGGCGGUAAAAUGGAUGAUAUUACGGUCAUUGUCGCACAAGUGAAGACAGUGGUGAUCCCAGACGAUGAGGGUAGUGGAGUUGAACUGGAGAAAGUGGGUGGUGAGCAACUCGCUGCUGCUGGAGUUGCAUCCACUGAACAGAAUGAAUGA
Molecule: ribosomal RNA, 969 nt
Filed under: Triticum aestivum (bread wheat)
Lineage: Eukaryota; Viridiplantae; Streptophyta; Magnoliopsida; Poales; Poaceae
Description: partial small subunit ribosomal RNA
Source: RNAcentral